UCUGUGAAUAUUAAUGGAACAGUGAACGGCUCAGUAUAACACGUCUAUCUACCCACGCUAUAAAAUAACCAUGGGAAACUAUGGCUAAUAUUGUGGAUGAGGAUGUGACCUAUCAGCUUGACGGUACGGUAAGUGCGUACCGAGGCGAUAACGGGUAACGGGGAAUAUGGGUUUUAUUCCGGAGAGGGAGCCUGAGAGAUGGCUGCCACGUCCAAGGACGGCAGCAGGCGCGAAACUUACCCAAUGAACAUUGAGGUAGUUACGGGGCGUACUUCUUGUAUGAAGCGUGUGUAAAAAGCAUGCAGAAGUACUGGAGGGCA
This 320-nucleotide ribosomal RNA is filed under the name Amblyospora sp. RNAcentral describes it as "SSU rRNA". It matches the Rfam family "Microsporidia small subunit ribosomal RNA", at positions 57 to 383 of the family's 1311-position model. The record is from RNAcentral. Lineage: Eukaryota; Fungi; Microsporidia; Amblyosporidae.